UACGGAAGGCAGCAGUGGGGAAUAUUGCACAAUGGGCGCAAGCCUGAUGCAGCCAUGCCGCGUGUAUGAAGAAGGCCUUCGGGUUGUAAAGUACUUUCAGCGGGGAGGAAGGCGAUGCGGUUAAUAACCGCGUCGAUUGACGUUACCCGCAGAAGAAGCACCGGCUAACUCCGUGCCAGCAGCCGCGGUAAUACGGAGGGUGCAAGCGUUAAUCGGAAUUACUGGGCGUAAAGCGCACGCAGGCGGUCUGUUAAGUCAGAUGUGAAAUCCCCGGGCUUAACCUGGGAACUGCAUUUUGAAACUGGCAGGCUUGAGUCUUGUAGAGGGGGUAGAAUUCCAGGUGUAGCGGUGAAAUGCGUAGAGAUCUGGAGGAAUACCGGUGGCGAACGGCGGGCCCCUGGGACAAAGACUGACGCUCAGGUGCGAAAGCGUGGGGAGCAAACGAGGAUUAGAUACC
Molecule: ribosomal RNA, 457 nt
Filed under: uncultured bacterium
Lineage: Bacteria
Description: bacterial SSU rRNA
Rfam family: Bacterial small subunit ribosomal RNA
Source: RNAcentral